RNAcentral lists this ribosomal RNA (423 nucleotides) under Fusobacteriota bacterium. Its description in RNAcentral is "Fusobacteria bacterium partial 16S ribosomal RNA". It matches the Rfam family "Bacterial small subunit ribosomal RNA", at positions 355 to 776 of the family's 1533-position model. Lineage: Bacteria; Fusobacteriati; Fusobacteriota. The record is from RNAcentral.
UGAGGAAUAUUGGUCAAUGGGCGAGAGCCUGAACCAGCCAAGUAGCGUGCAGGAUGACGGCCCUAUGGGUUGUAAACUGCUUUUAUGUGGGGAUAAAGUGCGUGACGUGUCAUGCAUUGCAGGUACCACAUGAAUAAGGACCGGCUAAUUCCGUGCCAGCAGCCGCGGUAAUACGGAAGGUCCGGGCGUUAUCCGGAUUUAUUGGGUUUAAAGGGAGCGUGGCUGUCUAUUAAGCGUGUUGUGAAAUUUACCGGCUCAACCGGUGGCUUGCAGCGCGAACUGGUCGACUUGAGUAUGCAGGAAGUAGGCGGAAUUCAUGGUGUAGCGGUGAAAUGCUUAGAUAUCAUGACGAACUCCGAUCGCGCAGGCAGCUUACUGUAGCAUAACUGACGCUGAUGCUCGAAAGUGCGGGUAUCAAACAGG